RNAcentral lists this ribosomal RNA (286 nucleotides) under uncultured Cercomonas. RNAcentral's name for it is "partial 18S ribosomal RNA". The stretch from base 112 to 286 matches the Rfam family "Eukaryotic small subunit ribosomal RNA", at positions 741 to 955 of the family's 1831-position model. The record is from RNAcentral. Lineage: Eukaryota; Cercozoa; Cercomonadida; Cercomonadidae.
GAUUUCUGGCGAACCGUUGCGGCCCGUGCUCUUUAAGGGCGUGAGUGCCGUGCCGUGUUUGUCAUCCUUCCAGAGAGCUGCGUCUACCAUUCACUUGGCCGGACGUACGCGAUCUGGAUCGAUUACUUUGAAAAAAUUAGAGUGUUUAAAGCAGGCUCUCGCUCUUAAUACAUUAGCAUGGAAUAAUAAUUUAGGACUUCGGUUCUAUUUUGUCGGGGGUGCUAGUAUUCCGCGGCCAGAGGUGAAAUUCUUGGAUUCGCGGAAGACUAACUACUGCGAAAGCAUU